UAAUUCAGACCAACAUAUCAUCUCAAAAUUCUAGACCAACUUUGAAUUUCAUAGCAGUCUCACGCUCAACUCCCUUCUUCUUCCCUCAACUUUCCCUGCGUCUCGCAAGUCGCCGGUGGUUCUCGCCUCCUUGCCAGUCUCCGGUGGUCUCUUUCCUCGCCUCCGAUCCUCGUCUCCUCGCCGGUGGGUCUUUUUUCACCUUAAAAAUUUCAGCCCGCGCGCACGGUAGACCUGGCCCUUCUUCUUCGAUCUUCCUUCAGCUCUACCGGAAACACCGCAGACCUUGCCCCUUCUUCUUCUCCGAUCUUCCUCGCUGGCCCCCUUCUUCUUCCCUCUGUGUUUUUUCUCUCUCCUCUGCUUCUCAGAAAAUUAGGGUUUGUGAAUUGAAUUUGGGGAUUUGGGAGUUAGGGAGUUAGGGAUUUUCGUAUCGGCGGCAGAGCACCACUCCACAACAGCGGCGUAAGUGACGGCCCGACAAACUGCAGUAGUGGUCGACACAUCCGAACCUGCUUCGUGAGUUGAGGAUAACAAUCUUUGAUACCCGAAGAUUGAACUCCAUGAUUAUGAGCCUCUCGCGUUUCCUCCGCUGGAGUUUGGAUUCUACGUGGUGUCACUUGAGCAUUUGGAGCGCAUGGAAAACUGUUAUGGGUACUCUCCCAGUAUUCGUAUGUAGACGCAGUUGAUAAUAAGGGAUUCAAUGUGCUUCACCAAUGGACAGAAACAGCACAAGUUUGGCCAUUAAACUUUCUUUUAAAUGGGGAUUUUCCUGCUACAAGGACUAAAGUGUUCAGAGAUUUAAUCUACUGCAUGACAGGUAAGAAAAAGGGUGAUAGUUCAUUACAUAUUGCAGCAAGGUCUAAGAAUGGUGCUGAUAUUGUUCGAGUGCUUAUACAUGGUUACCAGCAAGAAGCAGGGGAAACGCCAGAGCCACAAUAUGAUUGCCCUCCUUGGAAAACAAAGAACAAAAAUGGGGAUACACCAUUACACACCGCUCUAUCUCUGCUUAAUUGAAAUUUAUCUCUGUGAUGGAUAUUUCCUUGAAUCAUUUGCAUCUUUAAAUUUAUACGCAGGCCCGACCCAAAUGAAAUGGAGGCCCUGUGCUAGUAUUGAAAUUACAGGAGCAGAAUGCCAUUAAUUAUCAGAAUAUUCAGAAACAUAAUGAUGAGCUUCCCAAAUAUAUAUCUGGAGUCACUAGAGAUCUGAAGGAAUGUGAACUUUCCCGUUUCAAGGUCCACCAUUUUGACAUGCCUUAAUUCGUUUACUUGUGUGUUGGAAUCUUAUGUACUUGUAUUACUAUCAUUCUGAUAUAUCCUAGUGUUAUUUAUCUUAUAAUGAGUUGACUUUAA
Spinacia oleracea (spinach) is the source of this 1346-nucleotide long non-coding RNA. RefSeq lists it as uncharacterized. The record is from RefSeq and is a predicted model, not a curated record. NCBI's taxonomy places the organism in Eukaryota, Viridiplantae, Streptophyta, Magnoliopsida, Caryophyllales, Amaranthaceae. The transcript has 3 exons.